The sequence is a small nuclear RNA, 141 nucleotides long. Its record names the gene U4. It matches the Rfam family "U4 spliceosomal RNA". Rfam says of the family: U4 small nuclear RNA (U4 snRNA) is a component of the major U2-dependent spliceosome. The structure of U4 snRNA from yeast and human has been reported. U4 snRNA presents a k-turn RNA motif in the 5p-SL related to recognition of Snu13 protein. The record is from Ensembl.
AUCCUUUCGCGGUGGCAGUAUCGUAACCUAUGAGGUUUAUCCGAGGUGUGAUUAUUGCUGGUUGAAAACUUUAACCCAAUGCCCACCUAGAUGAUUUAAAAUAUAGUCAGCAAUGACAAUUUUUGACGGUCUCUACAGAGA